UUUAUAUACUCUUUGGUUCAUGGGAUCAAUUCAACCGUCAUCGUGCCGUCGUUUUGUAAGAAAAAUAUCUCUUUGUCUUUUAUGAUUAUUGGUGAUCAUCAUCUUGACCAAUCCAUUGCCGGCUCAUUUGUUGAAAAUCUGCAUAAUGUAUUUUAUUACAUUCCAACAAUGUUACAAGAACCUUCAUCAAGCAAAUCUACAACAGAGUCAGCCGGUUCAAGUCAAAACCAGGUGGACCAAGAUACCCAACUUUGUGUCUCUGCACCAGAAGAGUUUUGCUAAGUCGGAGUCUCAGUACCAGUACCAGUAGAGGAAAACCCAGCGAGAGAAGCAGUCACUCACCACCACCCGCUCUUUUAAUACGUUGGGGAAGAUCAGCUCUGAGGCAAUGUUACAAGAACCUUCAUCAAGCAAAUCUACAACAGAGUCGGCGGGUUCAAGUCAAAACCAGGUGGACCAAGAUACCCAACUUUGUGUCUCUGCACCAGAAGAGUUUUGCUAAGUCGGAGUUUCAGUACCAGUACCAGUAGAGGAAAACCCAGCGAGAGAAGCAGUCACUCACCACCACCCGCUCUUUUAAUACGUUGGGGAAGAUCAGCUCUGAGGCAAUGUUACAAGAACCUUCAUCAAGCAAAUCUACAACAGAGUCGGCGGGUUCAAGUCAAAACCAGGUGGACCAAGAUACCCAACUUUGUGUCUCUGCACCAGAAGAGUUUUGCUAAGUCGGAGUUUCAGUACCAGUACCAGUAGAGGAAAACCCAGCGAGAGAAGCAGUCACUCACCACCACCCGCUCUUUUAAUACGUUGGGGAAGAUCAGCUCUGAGGGUAAGAAAUACAAUGAUUAUUGGUGAUCAUCAUCAUGACCAAUCCAUCGCCGGCUCAUUUGUUGAAAAUCUGCAUAAUGUAUCUUAUUACAUUCCAACAAUGUUACAAGAACCUUCAUCAAGCAAAUCUACAACAGAGUCAGCGGGUUCAAGUCAAAGCCAGGUGGACCAAGAUACCCAACUUUGUGUCUCUGCACCAGAAGAGCUUUGCUAAGUCGGAGUCUCAGCACCAGUACCAGUAGAGGAAAACCCAGCGAGACAAGCAGUUGCUCACCACCACCUGCUCUGUUGAUACGUGGGGGAAGAUCAGCUCUGAGGCAAUGUUACAAGAACCUUCAUCAAGCGAAUCUACAAUAGAGUCAGCCGGUUCAAGUCAAAGCCAGGUGGACCAAGAUACCCAACUUUGUGUCUCUGCCCCAGAAGAGCUUUGCUAAGUCGGAGUCUCAGCACCAGUACCAGUAGAGGAAAACCCAGCGAGAGAAGCAGUCGCUCACCACCACCCGCUCUGUUGAUAUGUUGGAGAAGAUCAGCUUUAUGGGUAAGAAAUGCAAUGAAUAUUGUUAGUAUAGUAGAAUUAAGCAAAAUAAAACCUUGAACUUUUACUGAAUGAUAUAGAAAUGUUUAUUAGUUUAGUAUAAAUGACUGUAGAUCAUCUAUAGUAAUAAUAAAUAAUGAGUGAAGUGUCUGUCUGUAGUUUCGAAAUAACUACCUCAUAUUUGAACUGUACCACAACUGAAUCACACUGCCACCCUCCCACACACAACCCGCACCCUAAUUCAUGAGCCCUGUCAACUACACCUAUAGUUGGCUUUUAUUUUUAAUUUUGUACCUUUUCUGUAUGUGUUGUGCAAUUCGUAUGUUAGGUAUAAUGCGUAAAAUGAUGAGUAUUUUGAUUAGAUUUUAAGCUUAUAUGACAGAAAUUUGUAUGACAUUUUAAUUUUGUACCUUUUCUCUAUGUAUUAUGAUGUACUGUGCAAUAUAGUUAUUUUAGAUAUAAUGCGUAAAAAAUGAGUUCUCACACUUUAACCAAUUUAACUUUGUGUCAAAUAUCAUGUCGAAAGUACUAUUUUAGAGAUCGUUUCAAAGAAUAGUUCCUAUGGCGUUAUGUUGCCUCCCCUGUCAACUACUAUUAUUUUCAUUUGAUUUUCACAAAUGAAUGAAAUGAAAAUCAAAUGAAAAGAAAAUCUGCGUCUUCUCAUGCCAAUAUGGUGCCAAUGACUUAGACAGGGGAGCCAACAUAACGCCAUAGGAACUAUUCCUUGAAAGGAUCAAUAGUCCUUAUUUGAAAGGUGAGCCAUUACUUUUGACAUGACAGCUGUUCACCCAUAGAGUUGAAAUGGCGUGUGAGAAGUCAUUUUUUAGGAACUAUUUAUGCCACUUCUAGACAUAAUUAGGUACCAUUUUUAUGAAUUAAUAAUAUUGAAAAUAAAAUAAAAAGCCUUUAUUUAUUUUAUAAUAGUUUAGCGAUCAUUGUUGUUUAUUGUUGUUUGUGCCAAUUCUCCACAUAAAUCGGUUGGUACUAUUUUUGUUAAUUGAUAAUAAUGAGACCUACAAAUUAAAUUAUAUUAAAUUAUAAACGCCUUUUAUUUCUUACAUUUUGCAAUACA
Long non-coding RNA from Maniola jurtina (meadow brown), 2432 nucleotides. RefSeq lists it as uncharacterized. The transcript has 4 exons. The record is from RefSeq and is a predicted model, not a curated record. Lineage: Eukaryota; Metazoa; Arthropoda; Insecta; Lepidoptera; Nymphalidae.